Small nuclear RNA from Fukomys damarensis (Damara mole-rat), 109 nucleotides. NCBI's taxonomy places the organism in Eukaryota, Metazoa, Chordata, Mammalia, Rodentia, Bathyergidae. The record is from Ensembl.
GUGCUUUUGCUUCAGCUGUACAUGUACUAAAAUUGGAAGGAUGUGGAGAAGAUUAGCAUGGCCCCUGCACAAGGAUGACACGAAAAUUUAUGGUGUUCCUUAUUUUUUU